AAGAGAAGAGAAAGUGGAAGAAAAAAAGGUUUUUUUUUUUUUUCGAGAGUGGAAGAGAAGAGGAAGUGUUUCUGUGUUUUUCUUUUUUUGUUUUUUUACUGUUU
RNAcentral lists this non-coding RNA (104 nucleotides) under Picochlorum sp. RCC944. The record is from RNAcentral. Lineage: Eukaryota; Viridiplantae; Chlorophyta; Trebouxiophyceae.